RNAcentral lists this ribosomal RNA (253 nucleotides) under uncultured bacterium. RNAcentral's name for it is "partial 16S ribosomal RNA". It matches the Rfam family "Bacterial small subunit ribosomal RNA", at positions 524 to 776 of the family's 1533-position model. The record is from RNAcentral.
UACGUAGGGUGCGAGCGUUGUCCGGAAUUAUUGGGCGUAAAGGGCUCGUAGGCGGCUCGUUGCGUCGGCUGUGAAAACCCGCAGCUCAACUGUGGGCUUGCAGCUGAUACGGGCGGGCUGGAGUUCGGUAGGGGAGACUGGAAUUCCUGGUGUAGCGGUGAAAUGCGCAGAUAUCAGGAGGAACACCGGUGGCGAAGGCGGGUCUCUGGGCCGAUACUGACGCUGAGGAGCGAAAGCGUGGGGAGCGAACAGG